AUGAGAGUGGCCGUGCCCCUCGCCUCGCUCCUCGCCGUGCUCCUCCUGGUCGCCGCGGCGUGCGCGGGGAGGGAGGAGGAGGAGGACCCGGAGGUGACGGCGUGCAAGCAGCAGUGCGCGGGGCAGCGGCAGUUCGGCGCGGAGGAGCGGCGGUACUGCGUGGCGGCAUGCGACGAGUACGGCCGGAUGAAGAGGCGCCGGGAGGAGGAUGAGGGUCGCCGCAGCACGGAGAAGGAGCGCGACCGGUGCCUGCACGAGUGCCGCGCCGGCCCGCGCAAACCGGGCUGCGAGCAGAGGUGCAUCGACGAGUACGAGCGGGCCACCCACCAAGGCACCAAGACGGACGACGCCUGA
Molecule: ribosomal RNA, 354 nt
Filed under: Triticum aestivum (bread wheat)
Lineage: Eukaryota; Viridiplantae; Streptophyta; Magnoliopsida; Poales; Poaceae
Description: partial small subunit ribosomal RNA
Source: RNAcentral